This 439-nucleotide ribosomal RNA is filed under the name uncultured bacterium. RNAcentral describes it as "partial 16S ribosomal RNA". It matches the Rfam family "Bacterial small subunit ribosomal RNA", at positions 339 to 795 of the family's 1533-position model. The record is from RNAcentral.
CUACGGGUCGCUCCAGUGAGGAAUAUUGCACAAUGGGGGGAACCCUGAUGCAGCAACGCCGCGUGGAGGAUAACGCAUUUCGGUGUGUAAACUCCUUUUAUAUGUCAAGAAAAUGACGGUAGCAUAUGAAUAAGCACCGGCUAACUCCGCGCCAGCAGCCGCGGUAAUACGGAGGGUGCAAGCGUUACUCGGAAUCACUGGGCGUAAAGGACGCGUAGGCGGGUUGGAAAGUCAGGUGUGAAAUCCUACAGCUUAACUGUAGAACUGCACUUGAAACUUCUAAUCUAGAGUAUGGGAGGGGGAGAUGGAAUUAGUGGUGUAGGGGUAAAAUCCGUAGAUAUCACUAGGAAUACCUAAAGCGAAGGCGAUCUCCUGGAACAUUACUGACGCUAAGGCGUGAAAGCGUGGGGAGCAAACAGGAUUAGAUACCCUCGUAGUC